Molecule: ribosomal RNA, 253 nt
Filed under: uncultured bacterium
Lineage: Bacteria
Description: partial 16S ribosomal RNA
Rfam family: Bacterial small subunit ribosomal RNA
Source: RNAcentral
AACGUAGGACACAAGCGUUAUCCGGAAUUACUGGGCGUAAAGCGCCCGCAGGCGGUUAGGUAAGUGAUCGUUGAAAGCGCCCGGCUAAACUGGGCGAGGUGCGGUCAUACUGCCCGACUAGAGGGUGAUAGAGGCGUGUGGAAUUCCGCGUGUAGUGGUGAAAUGCGUAGAGAUGCGGAGGAACACCAGAGGCGAAGGCGGCACGCUGGGUCACACCUGACGCUGAGGGGCGACAGCACGGGGAGCGAACGGG